AUUGAACGCUGGCGGCAUGCCUUACACAUGCAAGUCGAACGGCAGCACGGGGGGUAACCCCUGGUGGCGAGUGGCGAACGGGUGAGUAAUAUAUCGGAACGUGUCCUGUAGCGGGGGAUAACCUAUCGAAAGAUGGACUAAUACCGCAUACGACCUACGGGUGAAAGCGGAGGACCGCAAGGCUUCGCACUAUAGGAGCGGCCGAUAUCGGAUUAGCUAGUUGGCGGGGUAACGGCCCACCAAGGCGACGAUCCGUAGCUGGUCUGAGAGGACGAUCAGCCACACUGGAACUGAGACACGGUCCAGACUCCUACGGGAGGCAGCAGUGGGGAAUUUUGGACAAUGGGCGCAAGCCUGAUCCAGCCAUGCCGCGUGAGUGAAGAAGGCCUUCGGGUUGUAAAGCUCUUUCGGCGGGGACGAAACGGUUCGUGCUAAUACCACGGACUACUGACGGUACCCGCAGAGGAAGCACCGGCUAACUACGUG
RNAcentral lists this ribosomal RNA (486 nucleotides) under uncultured bacterium. Its description in RNAcentral is "partial 16S ribosomal RNA". It matches the Rfam family "Bacterial small subunit ribosomal RNA", at positions 29 to 507 of the family's 1533-position model. The record is from RNAcentral.